UUUUUCUCCCCUAGUUAGGGGAACUACAUAGCCCUGAUCCUUGUUCCAGACGAGGUAUGUAGGCAGGUGGUCGUGCGAGACCACUCCGGGCGCUUUUUUUCCUUUUUUGUGUGUGUUUGUUUGACAAUUGAUAGGCUCGAGUUCCCGACUCCUUGGCAAUUUGUUGUUUGUUGUUCUUGUUGUGUGCUUGGAAGCUGAUGUAAGUCCAUCGAGUGGCAUUCGGGUUCCAGUGUGGGUUUGUUGGGUUCGGAUGCU
Molecule: long non-coding RNA, 255 nt
Filed under: Lathyrus oleraceus (garden pea)
Lineage: Eukaryota; Viridiplantae; Streptophyta; Magnoliopsida; Fabales; Fabaceae
Description: Pisum sativum (pea) long non-coding RNA (PSAT_LNC006048)
Source: RNAcentral